RNAcentral lists this ribosomal RNA (253 nucleotides) under uncultured bacterium. Its description in RNAcentral is "partial 16S ribosomal RNA". It matches the Rfam family "Bacterial small subunit ribosomal RNA", at positions 524 to 776 of the family's 1533-position model. The record is from RNAcentral.
UACGUAGGUGGCAAGCGUUACUCGGAAUCACUAGGCGUAAAGCGCAGGUAGGCGGUUGGAUAAGUUUCUUGUGAAAGCUCCCGGCUUAACUGGGCGAGGCCAAGGAAUACUAUCUGACUAGAGUGUGGUAGGGGUAACUGGAAUUCCCGGUGUAGCGGUGAAAUGCGUAGAUAUCGGGAGGAAUACCUAUGGCGAAGGCAGGUUACUGGGCCAUCACUGACGCUGAGCUACGAAAGCUAGGGGAGCAAACAGG